RNAcentral lists this ribosomal RNA (861 nucleotides) under Sticta ciliata. RNAcentral's name for it is "mitochondrial SSU rRNA". It matches the Rfam family "Bacterial small subunit ribosomal RNA", at positions 365 to 1208 of the family's 1533-position model. The record is from RNAcentral. Lineage: Eukaryota; Fungi; Ascomycota; Lecanoromycetes; Peltigerales; Lobariaceae.
UUGUCAAUAGCCUAACGGCUGAACCAGCAACUUGGAGGAAUGUAAUUACUACUAAGUAGUUUAAAUUUCUAGGUAGAAUUAUGAUAAUGACGUUAUCUAUCUAUGAGUCUUGACCAAAUUACGUGCCAGCAGUCGCGGUAAUACGUAGAAGCCAAGUGUUAUUCAUGUUUAUUAGGUUUAAAGAGUACCAAGACGGUUAAUAAAGCCCGAAAUAAAUAAAGGGGACACAUUAACUUGAGUUAUAUGAAAAGAAGCUCUAAGGUACUGUUGAGUGGAGAGAUGAAAUUUUAUGAUACCAGAUGAUUGGCACAGAUUAAUGCGAAGGCAUCUUCUUAUGUAAUAACUGACGUUGUAGGACGAAGGCUUAGGGAGUAAACAGGAUUAGGUACCCUAGUAAUCUAGGCAGAAAAUGAUGAAUGUCAUAGGUUUGAUAGUUAUUUUUUUAUGAAUAUGAAUAUGAAUAUGGAUAUACAUAUGUAUAUUUGACUGUUAUGGAAGCAUGUAAGGUGAAGAAGUAAUAGGUAAAAUAACUAGGUGUCUAUAAAUGAAAGUGUAAGCAUUCCACCUCAAGAGUAAUUUGGCAACAUUGGAACUGAAAUCAUUAGACCGUGUCUGAAACCAGUAGUGAAGUAUGUUGUUUAAUUAGAUGAUACACAAGAACCUUACCACAACUUGAAUAUAUAUAUAUAUAUAAUGUAUUUGUAUUUACAAGCGCUGCACGGCUGUCUACAGUUAAUGUCGUGAGAUUUUGGUUAGCUCCAUAAAAUUGACGUAAACCCUAAUUUUAUUUAUAAAUAUAAUUAACAUUGCUAUAAUUGAUGUUUAAUAGGGAACAUGACAAGUCAUCAUGGCCAAAACUUA